Lotus japonicus is the source of this 438-nucleotide long non-coding RNA. RefSeq lists it as uncharacterized. Lineage: Eukaryota; Viridiplantae; Streptophyta; Magnoliopsida; Fabales; Fabaceae. The record is from RefSeq and is a predicted model, not a curated record. The transcript is spliced from 3 exons.
AAAAAUAAACCUUUGGAGAACCCAUUGAUGUGGAGAUUAUAGGAAGCCUGAGAGAUGCUCAAGCUUUUUCUCGUAAUCAUGCUCACAAAGACACUGGUAAUUGAGAGUUGAUACAUGAAUUUUAGCAUUCUUUGUAUAGAAAUUAUGUUAUCAGUACUAUUGCAGCUGGACUUGAUGGAAUUCGUUUAGCUAUUUCUACUGCCACUCGUUUAGCUAUAUUGAUAUUGAUUCCUCUCCCACAUCGGUGACUGUCUCUGGCCAGAUUAUUUUAUGAGGUGGUGAAAAAGAUCGUUAUGGGGAAAAAGAUUGGAGCAUGUAUUUAGUAGAAAGUCUAAAUUAAGGGUUAACAGUGUGUGCUACUUCACUUUCUGUAACUAGAACUUUGGAAAGUUAAAUUAGUUAUGACCUAAUUAUAUGAGCUAUUUCUGAAUGGAAAAU